Long non-coding RNA from Denticeps clupeoides (denticle herring), 1413 nucleotides. Lineage: Eukaryota; Metazoa; Chordata; Actinopteri; Clupeiformes; Denticipitidae. The record is from Ensembl.
UGGAGGUGGAUGCCAGUGCGGUUGGAGCUGGGGCUGUGCUGUUACAGGAAGAUGCGGAUGGAGUUGAUCAUCCCAUCUGCUUCUUCUCAAAGAAGUUCUUAAAACAUCAGGGUGGCUCCUCAUCAGCCCAUGAUUGGACUCCUCCCACUUCCUGCCGUGAUUGGUGGGCUGUAAUCAGGAAGAGGGUUCAAAAUGGUGGCUGCUUUGGUGAAGAAGAAGAGAGUUGGUGAAAAGAGGAGGAGAGUGUUUGAGGAAGAUAGACUGUUGUUGGUGAAGAUAGACUGUUGUUGGUGAAGAUAGACUGUUGUUGGUGAAGAUAGACUGUUGUUGGUGAAGUGAAGUAUUAGGACGAGAAGAUAAGACUUAGACUGCCCAGACCUGUUUUGUGUUUCUGUUGUUUAAAUGUCUUCGUUUGUAAUAAAAGAUUAGCCUUAAGUGUUGUUGCGUCGUUUUGGAGUUUAUACUCAUAUGUCCCAUUUGUUAUGUCCCUGACCCUAGACCGGGGACGUAACAUGCACACAUGACCCUGACGUGGUGUCACUUUAAUCCGGGUUCAUAUUUCACCACUUUUUAUUUGUAUAUUUAUUUCAGAAGCUGUUUCUCUUAGACGUGCUGCAAUGGGAAAUGGGUGCGGUGCGGUGCGGUGCGGUGCAAGAUUUACACCAAGUCCCCCGGAUUUUUAGUCUUUCCUUUUUCUGAUGUCUUCAACCCUGGUGCUGAGGUUCCACACUUGAGACACAAGGAAAGCACCAGGUCCAGACUGCAUCUCCUCUUCCACCUUCAAAACCUUUGCUGGCCAUCAGGAUCCAGGUUUCGCACAUGGACUGUCCUCAGGGAUGAGUCCUCUCCCCACAGCGCUCCAGGAUUGUCUCCAGAACUACUGAAACGAGUCAGAGGGACAUAAAAUCAACAUUCCAAGUGAGAAACAUUAUUACCAUUAACUGCUGGUUUUAUAGACCACCAACCUGCUUGGGCGAGUGAAGUUUAAUGUCACCGUAAAAGAAUUUCACAGAUACAGGAGACAGUAUGAAUCGUUUUUGAAGGUAAAUCAUGCUGGAUUAGGGAGUAGCCUCAUGUAAUGCAAGUAAACAGGAAGUGUUUUUUAAAUUGCGUAUUAAACACUAGCAAACAGCCACUCUGAAAACAGACUCCACAGGGAGUUGAACCCCGCCCUGAUCAUGAAGGUCAGGUGUGCCACCACCGGAGCCUUUUUUUUUUUGGCUUUUUUUGCUACUAUUAUUAAUUAUUUAAGUAUUUAAGUAUGAGGCGCCCCCUAGAACAUAUUUCAACAAAAUAGAUGUUUGCAUGUGCGAAGUUUGCAUGUAGAAGCGUCAAGAAUAUAUGGCGUAUGUGCGAGGUUUGUAUGUAGAUGCGUGAGGAAUAUAUGGCGUAUGUGUGAGGUUUGUAUGUAGA